ACUCCUACGGGAGGCAGCAGUGGGGAAUUUUGGACAAUGGGGGCAACCCUGAUCCAGCAAUGCCGCGUGAGUGAAGAAGGCCCUCGGGUUGUAAAGCUCUUUUGUCAGGGAAGAAACGGUGAUCUCUAAUAUAGAUUGCUAAUGACGGUACCUGAAGAAUAAGCACCGGCUAACUACGUGCCAGCAGCCGCGGUAAUACGUAGGGUGCAAGCGUUAAUCGGAAUUACUGGGCGUAAAGCGUGCGCAGGCGGUUUUGUAAGUCUGAUGUGAAAUCCCCGGGCUCAACCUGGGAACUGCAUUGGAGACUGCAAGGCUAGAGUGUGUCAGAGGGGGGUAGAAUUCCACGUGUAGCAGUGAAAUGCGUAGAGAUGUGGAGGAAUACCGAUGGCGAAGGCAGCCCCCUGGGAUAACACUGACGCUCAUGCACGAAAGCGUGGGGAGCAAACAGGAUUAGAUACCCUGGUAGGAUAGCG
RNAcentral lists this ribosomal RNA (473 nucleotides) under uncultured bacterium. RNAcentral's name for it is "bacterial SSU rRNA". It matches the Rfam family "Bacterial small subunit ribosomal RNA", at positions 335 to 799 of the family's 1533-position model. The record is from RNAcentral.